UGCCAGCCGCCGCGGUAAUACGGGGGGUGCAAGCGUUAUUCGGAAUUAUUGGUCGUAAAGGGCGCGCAGGCGGUCUUGUCCGUCAGGUGUGAAAGCUCGGGGCUCAACCCCGGAAGUGCACUUGAAACAGCAAGACUUGAAUACGGUAGAGGAGAGAGGAAUUCCUGGUGUAGAGGUGAAAUUCGUAGAUAUCAGGAAGAACACCAGAGGCGAAGGCGGCUUUCUGGACCGAUACUGACGCUGAGACGCGAAAGCGUGGGGAGCAAACAGGAUUAGAUA
This 279-nucleotide ribosomal RNA is filed under the name uncultured bacterium. RNAcentral's name for it is "partial 16S ribosomal RNA". It matches the Rfam family "Bacterial small subunit ribosomal RNA", at positions 506 to 784 of the family's 1533-position model. The record is from RNAcentral.